AUUGAACGCUGGCGGCAUGCCUUACACAUGCAAGUCGAACGGCAGCACGGGUGCUUGCACCUGGUGGCGAGUGGCGAACGGGUGAGUAAUACAUCGGAACGUACCUUAUCGUGGGGGAUAACGCAGCGAAAGUUGCGCUAAUACCGCAUACGCCCUGAGGGGGAAAGCGGGGGACCGUAAGGCCUCGCGCGAUUAGAGCGGCCGAUGUCUGAUUAGCUUGUUGGUGAGGUAAAAGCUCACCAAGGCGAUGAUCAGUAGCUGGUCUGAGAGGACGAUCAGCCACACUGGGACUGAGACACGGCCCAGACUCCUACGGGAGGCAGCAGUGGGGAAUUUUGGACAAUGGGGGCAACCCUGAUCCAGCAAUGCCGCGUGAGUGAAGAAGGCCUUCGGGUUGUAAAGCUCUUUUGUCAGGGAAGAAACAGCAGCUCUAACACAGUCUGCGAAUGACGGUACCUGAAGAAUAAGCACCGGCUAACUACGUGCCAGCCGCCGCCGCGG
This 501-nucleotide ribosomal RNA is filed under the name uncultured bacterium. RNAcentral's name for it is "partial 16S ribosomal RNA". It matches the Rfam family "Bacterial small subunit ribosomal RNA", at positions 30 to 523 of the family's 1533-position model. The record is from RNAcentral.